AUUGAACGCUGGCGGCAGGCCUAACACAUGCAAGUCGAACGGUAACAGGAAGAAGCUUGCUUCUUUGCUGACGAGUGGCGGACGGGUGAGUAAUGUCUGGGAAACUGCCUGAUGGAGGGGGAUAACUACUGGAAACGGUAGCUAAUACCGCAUAACGUCGCAAGACCAAAGAGGGGGACCUUCGGGCCUCUUGCCAUCGGAUGUGCCCAGAUGGGAUUAGCUAGUAGUUGGGGUAACGGCUCACCUAGGCGACGAUCCCUAGCUGGUCUGAGAGGAUGACCAGCCACACUGGAACUGAGACACGGUCCAGACUCCUACGGGAGGCAGCAGUGGGGAAUAUUGCACAAUGGGCGCAAGCCUGAUGCAGCCAUGCCGCGUGUAUGAAGAAGGCCUUCGGGUUGUAAAGUACUUUCAGCGGGGAGGAAGGGAGUAAAGUUAAUACCUUUACUCAUUGACGUUACCCGCAGAAGAAGCACCGGCUAACUCCGUG
Molecule: ribosomal RNA, 490 nt
Filed under: uncultured bacterium
Lineage: Bacteria
Description: partial 16S ribosomal RNA
Rfam family: Bacterial small subunit ribosomal RNA
Source: RNAcentral